RNAcentral lists this long non-coding RNA (528 nucleotides) under Equus caballus (horse). Its description in RNAcentral is "lncRNA (ENSECAG00000045085.1)". Lineage: Eukaryota; Metazoa; Chordata; Mammalia; Perissodactyla; Equidae. The record is from RNAcentral.
GGGAGGAGAACUGCCGGACCCUCAGAAACCUGGAAAAUUAAGUAUCCAAAGCAAACGCUAGAGAAGCAGUAUUAAGAUGUUGCAUUGAUAGAAAAUUCACUUCAAAUCAAGGAAAGUGGAUCCGCCCUCAAAGCCUCCGCCCCGGCGAGUGUAUGUUGCUCCUCAGGCUUCAGAGAUGCAGAGCUCGAGCUCACCACAACCACCUCUGAGCAUCCCAAGACAUGAUGGUGAGAGCUCAAGCAGCCAUCUUGCACCAUGAGCUGGAAGCUGUGUGUUGAGGAUGGCAGAGGAACACAUUAGAAGUCUGGGUUCCUGAUGACCACGGAGCUGCCAUUCCAAAAUGGGACCACCUACCUAGAAUUUUACCUGAGAGAAAAUGAAGCCUCUAUCUGUUUAAGCCACUGGUAUUCUGGGUUUUCCACUCCUCAUAGCCAAACCUAAUCCAUACAACUAAUGUAAGUGAGAAAAAAAAAGAUACAAAUAUACAGAGUCAGUAAUAAACUUAACACAAAAAUAUAUAGAAUAAAA